UACAGAGGUCUCAAGCGUUGUUCGGAUUCAUUGGGCGUAAAGGGUGCGUAGGUGGCGCUGUAAGUCGGGUGUGAAAUUUCGGAGCUUAACUCCGAAACUGCAUUCGAUACUGCGGUGCUUGAGGACUGGAGAGGAGACUGGAAUUCAUGGUGUAGCAGUGAAAUGCGUAGAGAUCAUGAGGAAGACCAGUGGCGAAGGCGGGUCUCUGGACAGUUCCUGACGCUGAGGCACGAAGGCCAGGGAGCAAACGGG
RNAcentral lists this ribosomal RNA (252 nucleotides) under uncultured bacterium. RNAcentral's name for it is "partial 16S ribosomal RNA". It matches the Rfam family "Bacterial small subunit ribosomal RNA", at positions 524 to 776 of the family's 1533-position model. The record is from RNAcentral.